RNAcentral lists this ribosomal RNA (253 nucleotides) under uncultured bacterium. RNAcentral's name for it is "partial 16S ribosomal RNA". It matches the Rfam family "Bacterial small subunit ribosomal RNA", at positions 524 to 776 of the family's 1533-position model. The record is from RNAcentral.
UACGAGUCUCACAAACGUUAUUCGGAAUUACUGGGCUUAAAGGGUGCGUAGGCGGUGAAGUAAGUCGGAUGUGAAAUACCUUAGCUUAACUAGGGAACUGCACUCGAUACUACUUUGCUAGAGUAAGACAGAGGUGAGUGGAACUGAGGGUGGAGCGGUGAAAUGCGUUGAUAUCCUCAGGAACACCGGUGGCGAAGGCGGCUCACUGGGUCUUUACUGACGCUUAUGCACGAAAGCUAGGGUAGCAAACGGG